Molecule: small nuclear RNA, 106 nt
Filed under: Cimex lectularius (bed bug)
Lineage: Eukaryota; Metazoa; Arthropoda; Insecta; Hemiptera; Cimicidae
Source: RNAcentral
AUACUCGCUUCGGCGGUACAUAUACUAAAAUUGGAACGAUACAGAGAAGAUUAGCAUGGCCCCUGCGCAAGGAGACACGCAAAAUCGUGAAGCGUUCCACUUUUUU